This 407-nucleotide ribosomal RNA is filed under the name uncultured bacterium. RNAcentral describes it as "bacterial SSU rRNA". It matches the Rfam family "Bacterial small subunit ribosomal RNA", at positions 29 to 424 of the family's 1533-position model. The record is from RNAcentral.
AACGAACGUUAGCGGCGCGCCUAACACAUGCAAGUCGAGCGAGAAGGAAGCAAUUCCUGUAAAGCGGCGCACGGGUGAGUAACACGUAGGUAAUCUACCUCGAAGUGGUGGAUAACCUUCCGAAAGGAGGGCUAAUACAGCAUGAGACCACGGUUUCGAAAGAGAUUGAGGUCAAAGCGGGCCACUAUACAUAAGCUCGCGCUUCGAGAUGAGCCUGCGGCCCAUCAUGGUAGUUGGUAGGGUAAUGGCCUACCAAGCCGAAGACGGGUAGCUGGUCUGAGAGGAUGAUCAGCCACACUGGAACUGAGACACGGUCCAGACUCCUACGGGAGGCAGCAGUGGGGAAUCUUGCGCAAUGGGCGAAAGCCUGACGCAGCGACGCCGCGUGAGUGAUGAAGGCCUCGGUU